Molecule: long non-coding RNA, 1919 nt
Filed under: Homo sapiens (human)
Lineage: Eukaryota; Metazoa; Chordata; Mammalia; Primates; Hominidae
Description: non-protein coding lnc-RHEX-1:7
Source: RNAcentral
AUUACUUUCCUCUCCUUCCCCUUAUGCAGAGAACAUCACCACCCUGAAGCCAGAGACUAACACUGCAGGACUCAGCAGGAUCUUUCCUGCCAUGCUGAUGCCAUAUAUUCCAACGUGAUCAACCUGGCUCCCCAGAAGGAGGACGACUUUGCUGUCUACACCAACAUGCCCCCUUUUCAUCACCCCAGGAGGACAUUGCCAGACCAAGUGGAAUAUGUCUCCAUUGUAUUCCACUGAUGGGAAGCUAAUGAGAUGCUCAGAGUGGGGGUCAGACCUGGCCCCAGCUGAAUCUUGGCAUACCCUUUGCUUUAGAUUUAUGUGUGUGUUUAAAAAAAAAAAAAUACAUAGGCCAGGCACGGUGGCUCACACCUGUAUCCCAGCACUUUGGGAGGCUGAGGCAGGCAGAUCACCAGGUCAAGAGAUCAAGACCAUCCUGGCCAACAUGGUGAAACCCCGUCUCUACUAAAGAUACAAAAAUUAGCCAGGUGUGGUGGUGCAUGCCUGUAAUCCCAGCUACUUGGAAGGCUGAGGCAGGAGAAUCACUUGAACCCAGGGGGCGGAAGUUGCAGUGAGCCAAGAUCACACCGCUGCACUCCAGCCUGGCAACAGAGUGAGACUCCAUCUCUAAAAAAAGUAAAUAAAUAAAAAUAAAACGUAAAACAUAUUCUGAUGGAGGUGGAUGGCUAGACAUUUCUUCUGAUUUAUUAGAAUCAAAGUACUGUUCUAAUAGAAAGGAGUGACAUACAAGAAACACAGGACAUGCUCGUCCAGAUCACCCCCAGCCCCAGAGGCAGGCUCCUGAGACAGCCUGGCCAACAAGGAAGCCCUCUGAGCUCCUGCCCCUCCUGAGGCAAAAGGGCCGAGGAGGGGGAUUCAGACCAUUUCAGGUCCAGCUGCUUUUGUCUCUCCAGUCUUACCCUGUCAGGAGUUAACACCCCAUGGGUGUCAACUUAGGAGUCAUGCUUGUAUCUGUGAUCACGUGCAUGGCUGACUGCCUCGUGUGUCUGCACAAUACAACUGCUGGACAAUAUGCCAGAUGUGGAGGAGGAGGCAUAGGGGGGCUGCAGGUGCCUGGGAAGUGCUUCUUACUGAGGAACUUGGUGAGCUCCCAGGAAGCAUGGGGGCCACCUGAGAAAGGGGACGGGGGAGGAGUGCCAAGCGGGAAGUGGGCUGUGUGUCACCACUGGCCAGGAACAGCUCCCGUGGGAACUGUGGUAGAUGACUGGAACUUUACAAUUGAUUUACUCCUUCUUUUCGUCAUUCACAAGUAGUCAUUAAGCACUUCCGUGAUCUAGGUCCUGGGAAUACAGCAGUGAUCCCAACAGACAAAGCCUUGUCCUCACAGAGCUUACCUUCUAGAACGAACAAAGAAACACAUAAACACACAAAAUGUCAGAUGGUGGGAUGUGCUACGGGGAAAUAAAGCAAGCAUUCCCUACCCUACACUUCCUUGUAAGAGGUAAGAGUGGGUUGCUAGUUUGUAUCAGGUGUUCAGGGAAGGCCUUACUGACAUUUGACCUAAAAGAAAGGUAAGAAUGUGACACCUGAUGAUAAAUAGGGAAAGAGUAUUUCAGGCAGGAGGAAUGGCAGUGCAAAGGCCCUGAGGUAGACGUGUACCUGACAUGGUCAAAGAAAAGCGAGGAGAUGAAUGUGUCUGGAAUGGAACUGGGGGGUUGCAAGGAUCACAGCAAAGAUGUGGGGAGAGUCAGGGUUCUUCACUAUUAGGAGGGGGCUUGGAAAACGGCAAGUUUCAAGCAUGGCUUGUGUUUUAAAAAGAUUUUUCUGCCUCUCCCUCUCCCUCUCCCUCUCCCCAUGGUCUCCCUCUCCCUCUCUUUCCACCGUCUCCCUCUCACGCCAAGCCAAAGCUGGACUAUACUGCUGCCAUCUCGGCUCACUGCAACCUCCCUGCCUGAUUCUCC